AACCAUAGAAACCUGCGGAGUACCUGCGGAAGGAUCAUUACAGAGUUGCAAAACUCCCACAAACCAUCGCGAAUCUUACCCGUACGGUUGCCUCGGCGCUGGCGGUCCGGAAGGCCCUCGGGCCCCCGGACCCUCGGGUCUCCCGCUCGCGGGGGGCUGCCCGCCGGAGUGCCGAAACCAAACUCUUGAUAUUUUAUGUCUCUCUGAGUAAACUUUUAAAUAAGUCAAAACUUUCAGCAA
Molecule: unclassified non-coding RNA, 240 nt
Filed under: soil metagenome
Description: partial contains 5.8S ribosomal RNA, internal transcribed spacer 2, and large subunit ribosomal RNA
Source: RNAcentral